CCAUUUGAGUAGUACUUGUCCACAACCCUUUCGUCGACACUGUUUCCGUUGCGGUCGGGAAAAUGUAACUACCCGUUCAUGUCCAAAUUGUAGUAGGUCGGGAAACCCAAGGGCGAACUGUUAGUUAGUCGAGAGAUCAGUUCGAUUCCUAAGGUCUCGACUAGUAACCCCAGCUACCCUAUUCUAGAUUACGCCUUCGCACAGUGCAAGGGUGAUGAUCGUCCUCAUCUCGAAGUCUCGAUAUUUGGUAUGAAAUUUAUUGGCUUAUUGGAUUCUGGAGCAAAUGUUACUGCUAUUGGUUUAAGCAUAUGGGAUAUAUUACAACGUUCAGACAUACAAUUGUUAUCAUCACCUUUUUCUCAGUGCAAUUUUGGAAAUCAUAGUUCUAGUAAAGUGAUUGGCGCAAUUAACUUACCUAUUGUUUUGUAUGAUAAGGUAGCGGUUUGCAAUGUUUUGGUAGUGGAGAAAUUGAGUUGUCCAUUGAUAUUGGGUACCGAUUUUUGGAAAACUGUUGGUGUCGUUCCUGAUUUGCAAAAUGGUUGUUGGUAUUUUGGUGUGCCGUCUCAGGACAUCUGUAUCACUGAAGCCAUUAUUCCUCAGAAAACUUUAACCCCAGAACAGCGAUCCGCCUUGGAUAAAUUGACUUCAAAAUACUUUUCUUUAAUGGGUGGUAAACUUGGUCGAACAGAUUUAGUGAAGCAUCAGAUUAAUACUGGUAAUGCCCAACCCAUUCGUUUGCGCCCUUAUAGAUACUCACCCGCCACUCUAAAGAUUAUCGAUGAGGAGGUUGAUAACAUGCUGCAACUCGAUAUUAUCGAGCCAUCACAAUCUGCCUGGUCUUUCCCUGCCUUAGUAGUACCGAAAGGUAAUGGUAAAUGGAGAUUUUGCGUGGACUAUCGAAAACUAAAUUCUGUUACGGCUAAGGAUGCUUAUCCGAUCCCUUUUAUUGAUAGUAUUUUGGACAAAUUAAGAAAUGCAAAGUAUCUUACUUCGUUAGAUGUUAACUCUGCAUAUUGGCAAAUCGAGGUUGAUGAACAUUCACGUGAUAAAACUAGUUUUUCUGUCCCUGGUCGGGGACUUUAUCGAUUUAAGAGAAUGCCAUUUGGGUUGACGAAUGCCCCUGCAACUUGGCAGCGAUUGGUAGAUACCUUAUUGGGAGCUGAUUUGGAGCCACAUGUCUUUGUUUAUUUAGAUGACGUAAUCUGUAUUUCUGAGACUUUUCAGCAACAUUUAGAGGUUUUGGAAGAGAUUUUCCAGAGAUUUCAUAGAGCCGGUAUAACACUCUCUCAGGAUAAGUGUAAAUUCUGUCGAUCCGAACUUAAGUAUUUAGGAUAUGUUGUCGAUAAAGAUGGACUUCAUGUCGACCCGGAUAAGGUGACAGCCGUAUUGAACAUUCCGACUCCAAAGAACACCACCGAAGUCCGACGUGUCAUCGGUAUGGCGUCCUGGUACAGGCGUUUUAUUCCUCAGUUCUCAACCGUUAUUUCUCCCCUUACCGCUCUUCUUUGUAAACACAAAAAGUGGAACUGGACCCCAGAAUGUCAAAAUUCGUUUCAGAACAUCAAAAAUUCGUUAGUUUCCGCUCCUGUACUUACUUGUCCUGAUUUCUCGAAACCCUUUUUGGUUCAGACUGAUGCCUCAGCGUAUGGGAUCGGUGCUGUAUUAUCUCAAGAGUUUGAUGAUGGUGAACAUGUUAUCUGUUACAUAUCUCGAUCUCUGUCUAAAGCAGAGAGGAAUUUUUCCACCACAGAGAGAGAACUGUUGGCCAUUAUUUAUGCUUGCGAGAAAUUACGACCCUACUUAGAGGGAUACUCCUUUAAAGUGAUAACAGAUCAUCAUAGUCUGAAAUGGAUUCAUAGUCUGAAGGAACCAACAGGACGGCUUGCCAGAUGGGUUUUGCGGUUGCAACAAUUCGAUUUUGAGGUUAUUCAUAGAAAGGGCCAAGAUCAUGUUGUGCCGGAUGUUCUCAGUAGAGCUGUGCCAGAGAUUGCUAAAUUGAGUGUAUACCAGGAACCAGAAGUUGCAGAUAAGUGGUAUCGGAGAGUUUUCAAUCAGGUCGUAGAGAAUCCUAUUAAUUAUCCCCAAUGGCGAAUUGAAGGAAAUUUACUUUACAAGUAUGUGAAAUGUUCUUACCCGUCUCUUCGAGAUGAUGAAGAUUUCUGGAAGGAAGUAGUACCCAAGGAUCGAAGACGUAUGAUUUUGGAAGAAAAUCAUGAUCAUCCCUUGGCUGGUCAUGGUGGUGUCAUGAAGACAUACGAACGAUUGAAGCGUCGUUAUUAUUGGCCAAAAAUGAGAGCUGAUGUCCUCCGAUAUGUUAGGCAUUGCGCCAAAUGUAUUUCGCAAAAGCCCCUCCGGGAGCGACACGGAUUAAUGGGACAACAAACUCAAGUUUUGAAGCCAUGGAACACGAUUAGCGUCGAUCUUUUUGGGCCCUUGCCUCGUUCUACUCAGGGAUACAAAUACGUAUUGGUCGUCUUGGAUACCUUCACUAAAUUUCCUUUGUUCUUCCCUCUUUGCUCAGCUAAGGCCCCUAUGAUUUGUCGUCUUAUAGAGGAACAAGUUUUUCUCAUUUUUGGUGUUCCCCAAUUUCUUAUUUGCGAUAAUGGUGCUCAAUUUCGAGGUGAACUUUUUUCCAAACUGUGUGAGCAGUAUAAGGUCAAUAUCCGAUAUACUCCGGCUUAUCAUCCCCAGGCCAACCCCGUGGAGCGUGUGAAUCAAGUCCUUAAAACCAUGUUAAGUUGUUAUAUUGAGGAUAAUCAUAAGAAUUGGGAUCGACUUCUACCUAAGGUUGGUUCUGCCAUAAGAUCUUCGGUGCAUGAAGCCACCGGGCUCACUCCCUAUUUUAUGAAUUUUUCCAGAGAAUAUAUGCCCUCGGGCGACCAACACAAUAAUAGGGAUGUUCCCAGUAUCACGGUUGGCGACUUUAUGGCACGUUCACGUGAAUUAAGUAAAGUAUAUAGGGACGUUGAGGAAAGACUGAAAGCGGCGCAUCAGAGAUCAAAGAAUCGUUAUAAUCUUCGACGAAGACCAAUUAGUUUUGAGAUCGGUGAGCGAGUUUAUCGCAAAAAUUACGAUCUUUCUGAUGCUAGUAAAAACUUUACCGCCAAACUCGCACCAAAAUUUUUGGGCCCCUUUACAAUAAAGAAGAAGUUAUCUCCGGUAGCCUAUGAACUGAUUGACGAAAAGCGCAAGUUUAAGGGUGCUUGGCAUGUUAAAGAUUUGAAAAAGAUCCCAAAAGAAGAGCUACUCGUUGAUUCCGAUUCCGAUUAGACUUUAUCGAUUUUGCUUACUGGUCGGGACGUAUGUUUUUUUUUUUUUGUGUUUUACUUAUUAGUUCUUUUGAUUUUUCAAUUCUAAUAUAAUUUCUUUUUCUCCAGUUUCUUUCCUCAAAGCUGUGCGGACUGGGUAUUUUGAUGUUUUUGCGGUUAUUGGAUAGUAGCUACCUUGUUUGUUUUUCUCUUUCUAGUGAAGUUUCUUGUGGUGAAGGCCUACCACUUGAAGCAUUUUAGAUUUCCGAUUAGGAAUUCUAUCAGAAAUUACUAGAAAUUUUGUGUUAUUUGGUAUUUCGUUGGUUAUUAUAGUAUUAUUAUUUCAUGAGUCAAUCAAUUUGAAGUUUUAAUUUUUCUGACUUAUUUUAAUGCUUGAAUAGCAUUUUCAAAUAAUUAGAUUGUUCGCACAUUCUUUACUUCCCUUCCCAGUUGGAUGCUUACUUCUCUUCGCAUGAGAAUUACUUUUCUGGUAAUUCUCUUGGGGGAAGAGGGGGAGUUGUUGCAGGAUUAAUUGCGCUUUAGACGGGAUCUGGAGAAUCCUAACUUUUAUUCAUUUGGUUAAAAUAUUUAAAAAUGACUUUAUUCUAAAUUUUUCUUUCAAAACUGAGACACCCACCAUAAUUACAUUAAACCACUAUCAAUAUUAUCACCAUUUUAAUUCUUUGUUAUUGUUUACAAUAUGCUGUGCAUGGAGAAGAUUUCACGGCAAUUGAAUUGGUCAACCGGUUUACUAAAGCGGACGCCAGUGGCGCCGCGUGUCGAAUUAUUACGAUUUGGCCCGUAAUUGUACUUUCCACUAGGCACUCCAUGGUUUGCUUAUUAGUGACCUAUGUAUGGGUUUUGGUUGGGCCCAUAGCGGCUAAACCCAUAAAGUAACGAGUGAAGUUCCUCAAUCUCCGGUCUUGCGCCCAGACGUCUUUUGGACUACUACUUAAGCAGUUCCGCGACGCAUCUGGGGGUCUUUCCAGCUCCUGCGUCCGUCAAGAGUGAACCGUGCUGCCCGCUGUGACGGAGAGAGGUUUGAAAUAAAUCUAUUAUCAUCUCUCUCCGCCAGCACCUUUUUUGCUAAAAUAACAUCUAAAACUAAAAUGCAUUAGUGUUUCUUCAGUUUCAACGAAGUAUUUUUGAAGCAGGAUGGGUUUUAGUAGUUUGAUGCCUCUCGAAACUUCGUAAGUAGUUUUCACCGUUGGUGACAUUUUAUUUGGUGUUCCGUGUUUCCAUUGAGAAAUCUCUCUUAGGGCUCCUUAAAUAUGACAGUGUAAACCGCCAGCCGUGACCCAGCAGUAAUGAGGAUUUCGCCCUGAAGCCUGAAAAAUAAUUUCGCCGCCCUUAGCCCCGUCAACACACAUCAUGCCGUAAGCCCUAUGUGGUGAAAAAUUGCCCAUCGCGGGCUCUCGCCCCCGAAAGAAGAACACCAUGGAACUUGACCCUUAGUAGACGUCUCUGAAAACCAAGUGACAGAAAUUCAAAAACUCGCCUUUAAAGACUUGUUUCUCUCCACCAUAGUAUUGUCGAAAAACAACAUAAGUACUAUCGAGAAUGGCGCUUUUGAAAACUGCGCCAAUAUUACUA
Molecule: unclassified non-coding RNA, 4841 nt
Filed under: Anthonomus grandis grandis
Lineage: Eukaryota; Metazoa; Arthropoda; Insecta; Coleoptera; Curculionidae
Description: toll-like receptor 3
Source: RNAcentral